Molecule: long non-coding RNA, 3956 nt
Organism: Caretta caretta (loggerhead turtle)
Lineage: Eukaryota; Metazoa; Chordata; Testudines; Cheloniidae
Source: RefSeq, a predicted model, not a curated record
AGGAGAAAAGGAAUAAAAGAGAGGGUGGAAAGCUGACAAGGCAGACCAGCCUGCUUGCUUGCUUAAAGCCUUGUUCUGUCUUGUAUUUGGACCGCAACAACUGGCGCCCAAACGUGGGGCCCUCAGCACUCACCUCGCCCGGCAAGGGUUUCAGACGCAUCACUCAUCCGCUUCACGGAUCCCGGGCUGGUGGACACUGGAGCUGACGUUACGGUGAUUCGUGAUCAGGACUGGCCGGACCGUUGUGGGUUCCGGCCCGGUGUGUGCGACCGGCACUGAAACAGCAUGGCGUGGCACCAGGGGCUGUCGAACCCCAUACCGGAGUUUCAGCUGAUCUUGGAGGAGAACGCGGUGCCUCCCGGGUCGCCAAUGGCGGGAUGGAGAUGGAGGAGACGCAGCGUCCCAAGCCAGCCCGUGACAUGGGGAGCAGUGAAAGCAUUGGUUGCCGCGGCUCAAUGAAGACUGGCAGCAAACCAACAGCCAGAGACUCCUGAGACUCUGUUUGUGGCCAUUCUCACCCAAAUCACUGCUAAUUCUGUACUGAUUGUGUGCCUUAUGUGCCUGCUAUUUCCUGUAGUGGUUGACUCUGGAGCGCCUCCUCCGUUACGGGCCUGAAUGACAUAUAACCUAUGGGAAAGAUUGGCUUCAAUAGCAAAUGUUACCCACUUUUGUUUAUCUGAUUUUGUAGCAGCUGAAGAAUUGUUAGGUACGUGUCUUAUUCCAGUAUGUCAUCACCCUGAGGAAAUAGGGAAUGAGACGAUGCUCACUGCUUACGCGAACCUCUCUUCCCAGUACUCUAGCAUGGCUAAUUGGGGCCCGGCCAACUACACUUUACCUUCUUGGGCUUAUUUUUUGCUGUUGCUGUGUGCAAUGUAUUUCCUUUUUGUUAAGGCUUUGUCGAGACCCGCCCUGGCAGGCUCCACGAGUUAUGACCUUGUCUGUCCGGUAGUUAAUGGCUUGCAAGAGCAAAUUGAUGCCCACCAUGAGAUGGCCGAGCACAAAUAAACAAAAAAGGAGGGGAUGUAGGAUUCAUGCAGGGUUCAUGCACUUGACAGUAUUCAGGGCACACCCUGAGUGUUGUGUAGGAGCAGUGCACACACGGCUCCUCUCAAGGGCAUGAACCUUGGAAACUCGCCCAGAUGACAUGAACCAUGGGAAGCCUCCCAGGACUGGGCUCAAGGCCCGAGAGCAAGGAAUGCGGUAGAUAGAAAUUGGUAAAUAAGAAAGUUAAACAAAGUCAGUGUAUUCCUUUUAUCUGUUGGAGUAUUUAAUGCGUAGGAGGAGAAAAGGAAUAAAAGAGAGGGUGGAAAGCUGACAAGGCAGACCAGCCUGCUUGCUUGCUUAAAGCCUUGUUCUGUCUUGUAUUUGGACCGCAACAUAUCUAUAUAUCUUUUCCACAACUAUACACUUUCUCUCACCAUCAAGUGAUUUAGACAAAAAUUCAGGAAAAAGGGGCAGUUGGAGUCCCUGUUUCCCCAAAAUAUUCCUCCAAGUCCCUUCACUCCCUUUCCUGGGGAGGCUUGAGAAUAAUAUACAAUGUGACCACAGACCAAACCCCUUGGUUUUUAGAACACUGAAAAUUAAUCAGGUUCUCAAAAGAAGAAUUUCAUUUUUUAAAAAAGUAAAAGAAUCGCAUCUGCAAAAUCAGGAUGGAAGGUAACUUUACAGGGUAAAUAAAAAGAUUUAAAACACAGAGGAUUCCCCUCUGACUCUGCUUCCCAGUUACAAAAUAGGAAUGAAAUUACCUCUUAGCAUAGGGAAAAUUCACAAGCUAAAACAAAAGAUAAUCUCAUGCAUUUCUGUGCAUUAGUUACAAUUUUUAUAAUCUUAGAUGCUCAUUUCAGGUAUGUUUUUAGGAGAUGUUUUUCCUGCCUGCCCUCUCUUUGUUCAGAGAGGGAACAAACAAAGAGAGCACAAACAAAACCUUCCCCCCCCCCCACCCCAGAUCUGAAAGAAUUUUCUUUCCCCAUUCAUCUUUCUGGUCAGGUGCCAACUAGGUUAAUUGAAUUGAUUAACCCCUUACAGGUAAGGCAAUUCAGUACAGCUGCCCUGUGUAUAUUUAUGACAGGGUCUUAAACAUUUAAGGAUGGAGAUUCCACCACCUCCCUAGGUAACCUAUGCCAGUGCUUCACCAUCCUCCUAGUGAAAUAGUUUUUCCUAAUAUCCAAACUAGACCUCCCCCAAUGCAACUUGAGACCCUUGCUUCUUCUUUUGUCAUCUGCCAUCACUGAGAACAGCCUAGCUCCAUCCUAUUUGGAACCCUGUGAAGACCGAGGCAAAAAAAAAAUUGAGUACUUCAGCUUUUUCCACAUCUGUCAUAGAAUCAUACAAUCAUAGAAAAUCAGGGUUGGAAGGGACCUCAGGAGGUCAUCUUGUCCAACCCCCUGCUCAAAGCAGGACCGAUCCCCGAUUAAAUCAUCCCAGCCAGGGCUUUGUCAAGCCUGACCUUAAAAACUUCUAAGGAAGAAGAUUCCACCACCUCCCUAGGUAACCCAUUCCAGUGUUUCACCACCCUCCUAGUGAAAAAGUUUUUCCUAAUAUCCAACCUAAACCUCCCGCACUGCAACUUGAGACCAUUACUCCUUGUUCUGUCAUCAGCUACCACUGAGAACAGUCUAGAGCCAUCCUCUUUGGAACCUCCUUUCAGGUAGUUGAAAGCAGCUAUCAAAUCCCGCCCCCUCAUUCUUCUCUUCCGCAGACUAAACAAGCCCAGUUCUCUCAGCCUCUCCUCAUAACUUAUGUGUUCCAGACCCCUAAUCAUUUUUGUUGCCCUCCGUUGGACUCUUUCCAAUUUUUCCACAUCCUUCUUGUAGUGUGGGGCCCAAAACUGGACACAGUACUCCAGAUGAGGCCUCACCAGGGUCGAAUAGAGGGGAACUAUCACAUCCCUCUAUCUGCUGGCAAUGCCCCUACUUAUACACCCCAAAAUGCCAUUGGCCUUCUUGGCAACAAGGGCACACCAUUGACUCAUGUCCAACUUCUCGUCCACUGUACCCCCUGUUAGGAUAUAGAUAUUCAGGCCUGUCUGCAAAGGCCUGUACUUUAAGAAUUUAGGUGUAUUCUUAUCACUUGGCUAGUUCCAGAGGUAUAAAAGAAAGAAUCAAAACCACUGUCUGCCAGUGUAAGGGCCUUCUCUUACUGUGACAGUCUGAGGCCCUGUUCUUAGGCUAAGGUCUUUGGCUAAGCAGCAGAGGCAGCCAUAAGCUGGGAAGCGAACGGUCACAUCCUCACAUUCCAAACUAGUCACACUGAAAUAAGGUGCUAUUCGGCUGUUAGGAAUACAAUCCUGUCCUGAUAAUUCCUAUCACCUCCAGAGAAAGGGAAGUGCCUAGAAAAUGUAAAAGGAAACUUAGUUUGAUAGCAUCCUGUCUGGAAAGAACUCACUUAUCAAUAGCUGGGAUGUGAAAUCCUCACUUCUGUAUUGUCUUGUCAUUAUAGUUCCCACUUUGCUGUUGUUUGUCUGUAUAAUCUCUGUCUGGUUUUGUGAUUGUUCCUGUCUGCUGUAUAAUUAAUUUUGCUGGGUGUAAACUAAUUAAGGUGGUGGGAUAUAAUUGGUUACAUAAUCCUGUUACAAUAUGUUAGGAUUGGUUAGUUAAAUUUCAGGAAAAUGAUUGGUUAAGGUAUAGCUAAGCAGAACUCAAGUUUUACUAUAUAAUCUGUAGUCAAUGAGGAAGUGACUGGGUGGGGGUGGGGGUGGGCAUGUGGGUGUGUGAGAUGGGAACAGGGAAUGGGGGUAAGAAAAUUGGAAUCAUGUUUUGCUAAAGGGGGAAAUGGGAACAGGGAAUGGGAGUAAGGAAGUUGGAAUCAUGUUUGGCUAAGGGUAGGAAUGGGAACAGGGACACAGGCGUAAGGCUCUGUGGUAUCAGAGCUGGGAAGGAGGAUACUAAGGAAGGAAACUGGAAUCAUGCUUGCUGGAAGUUCACCCCAAUAAACAUCAAAUUGUUUGCACCUUUGGA